CCUUCAAGCUUUGAUGAAGUUUUGGGUCUGUGGUUUUGGCUCUGCCUCUUCCCCUUGGUGCUGAUUAGCACGUUAAUGGGUGGCAGUUGGCGUCAAGAUCCCUCUAAUACGUCACAACUGGAGAGCUUGUUCCACUUGAGACAAAUGCAGGUUUAUCAACAGGCAGUGUUUCAUAUUUAUCAGCUUAGCAACAGCAGGUAGUGUGAGGAGCCUGAAGAGUCCUCAGUGGUAGCACGUAAUAAAGUCAAACAAAGUAAUUUUCUAAGUUAUUUAGAAUAUCACAAUAUCUUAAAUAAUAAUUUCUUAAAAAUGGUAAAGUGCUGCACAGUCAGUCUGUAGUCUCAGACAAGGCAUGUGGAAUAAUACUUUAACUCACCAGCUAACAGUUAAUUAUGAGCCAGCCAAAAAUAAAAUCAUCACAAAACAUGAUGUCCUGUGCAGCUGCUUUUGGGAAUAGCGUAAGGAAGCAUAAGAUAUCCCAGGACAGAGAAAAAUGAAAGUGCAGAAUUCUAUUUCAGUGAUAUAAUAGGACUAAAUUAAAUCUGUAAGUUAGUCUUGGGGAAUUCAAACACCCACAGAAGGAAUUCACUGGCAGAUCACUGGGCUGUAUCUAAGCAGUACUCAGCAUGCAUUGCUUAUCCCUCAUGGUAACAUUCAGGGAAAGGGAAAUAGACAGGAGCAGCAAGCAUGAACAGUAAAAAAAGUUUACUCCAAAAGAUGGAGUUAGAAAGGACUCUGAGAACAGAAAACCUGUGGAAGGCGUUGUUCUGUAUGGUCAUUUACACCACGGACAAAAUGUUUGAAAUUGUAUGGAUAUAUCCUGUCAAGGACACUGGCUAAUAGAUAGCCAUGUCCAGCUUCAUCAUAACCUGCAAAAAGUUCUGUACCUCAGGCUUGUCUGGGCAAAAUUGUGAUGUGCAAUGCCAGGGAUAGACCAUCUGUUUCCUUGUGCUGUUUGAAAAGCACACAAAGAAAUGGGAAAGGAAGGACCAUGUAAGACAAUGCCAUUCUCCACCCAGGGCUUAUUGAUCCAGGUGUGCUGCUGUAGCAAAGAAUUCAGUGAGGUUGUUCCCAUGUUUCCUUCUGCAGCUGCCAGAUCUCAGGCUGCCCUGCUCAGCAGUCACCCUGUGACUUGCUAAAGUGGCAGGUCACCCAGGAGCAUGGCACUGUCAGGUGCUCACAUCCAGGCCUUCACACACUCCUGUACUUUCUCUAGUGUCUAACACGGCAGAAGAGAUGUGAGAGAAAGGUUUUUGGGAAAGUUAUUUUUCAGCCUUCCAGAUUUCAAAUUCUUCCUGCCUCAGGAGAAAAUUGUGUUUGUGUAGGUUUCAAGUCUCACAGAAUAAAAUGAUUCAGGAAAAAGUAUUUGAAGUUUUGGAUUCUGGGUCAUACCACCCCUAACAUUUACACUUUUCCAAUUUGUUCUUCUCUUUCAGGUAUACCGUGUUCAUUUCAGUAUCUAAAACUCUGGGGUUUGGCUGGAAAAUAUUAGACUAAUCCCAGGUAACUUUCAGAAUCUAAGAUCACCUAGAUAUAUAUAAGACUUCCUAUUCAUCCAAGGACAUCCUAAGUACCUACUUGAAACUCGAAAGCACCGAAGUGAUGCAAGUGCACACACAGAAGGAGAGGUCCACUGUGAUAUCCAUGCUGAAAGAGCCAUUCUGAUGUGCCAGAGGAUUACAAGAGAAGGCAUCCAAGUGUACAGCCGGGCACUGCACACCCACCACAGACAGCUGCUCUCCUGUUGCCUCCCUCAGUACACCAGGCCACUGGCUCUUGAUACCUAAAUUCUCCAUGUUUGUUUGGAUUUGUGAUGAACAUUGUACUCUUCAUCACCAGGAUGAAAUAAAGAACUUAAAGCACAAAUAAUGGGUAAGCUACAGUAUCUGGUAUUUCAGUGAGACAGACUAGGCUUCUUUAUUCCCAAAUUUACAAAAGCAGCUCUAAUUAACAGGAUGUUAAUGGAUCUGCCAGAUUAUGUACAGACCAUGUGCAGUCCUCCUAUGGAACUGGCCCAGCACCCUCCAAAGGAAAAGAGCUGUUGCAAGUUAUCUAAAAAUGGGACCAUCUUUAAUGUUGGGCAUAAAAUUCUUAUCCAGAGGCACAAGAAAGCUUAUGAUAGUGGAUGACUACAUCCACUGGAACAAACAUCUUACUCUGAUCCUUUCAGAUAAUCUAGAAACUUACAGGAAGAAGAAAACAGAUUAUUUCAGGAGCCAAACCGUAUAAAUUAUAAUAAAUUAUCCUUUGAACAAGCAACUGAUCUUCAAUGUGUAUAUGUACAUUUUGCAAACAUGGGUAUUUUAAAAAUGCUUCCUAAGUGUAUAUCAAGACUCCACCAAAGUGCUUUCAUCUUUAUUUUAUGCAAUGCAAAUUUAAUUCUCUUUUGCUACUCAUAUUCUCAGUUUAAGCAAAUCAAAAAACAACUUAGACUUUUAAAAAUGAUAGCAUGAAGAACAACAAAUAUUUUUCUUUUGGCACCAUGGGAAAGCUGCAACAACAAUUUCUUUAAAGAAAAGUCGUAAAUGCCAUUAACCCAAAUGACCAGGAAGCAGAUGCAGAGGCCAGCUGGCAAAUAAUUUGCUGUUAUAAGAUAAAGCAUUUUAUGCAAAUGAGAAUCAGUGAUACUGGGAUAGGUAAGGACACAUUAAGAAGCUUAGGAGCCAAAGUUCACUGCUCCAGUUUCUUUAGCAUGAUUUCUGUGACUCUUAUGACUUUUAGUUAUUUCAUCCUGUUCAUGCAGUAACUUCAUUAUACAUUCCUGCUCCCAGGCUCUUCCAGGUCCCCUUGUCUUACCAUCUUCUUUUGGCAUUAGGCUUGCACCAGCCAUGGCAUUUAAGCAGCAUGUCCUCCCUCCCUCUCAUCACAGCUUCUAGCACCACUCACCUUCUGUGCUCCUGUAAGGUGGACUCAUACACUGUUCACAAUUUUUUAAAAAAUUAAAUAGGAGCAAAGGUAGUUUUAAGUUUACAUCAGCCAUAACUCCCCACCCAAUCCAUUAUUCCCAACCCAAACCCUGCUGUGCAGGGAAAAUAGGUACAACACAGCAAAUAUGUGCUAAAGGCAGUGUCUCUCCCAGCAUCAGGUGGGGACUAUAACACAUGGAUUUCCAUUUUGGAUUCCUCUGAGAGUCCUGCAGGGCACCUGCAGUUAACAAUUGCUGCCACACUGAGUGUCUCAUUUUUUAAAGGGUUUUUCUCCUUCAUUGCUAUUUGGUAGCAAUGUUGUUAAUUGAUAGAGACUCCUUGCAGUCUGCAGUUCUAGUUAAGGAUUGCUAUGGAUUGUCACAGAGAAGAGCUUUAAGGAGUGGUUAGGAAAUGCAAAGAGUGUGUAAAAAGCAGUGUAAUGGUCUGCUUGAACAAAGAAUAUUUAGUUUUUUGACAGGUAGAUUCUGCUCUGAUUUUGAUGAGAGCAAAGCUGUCCUGCUUCACUGAGUUUCUUUUACUAGCUCUUAUGCAUGGCAAAUGGACAUUUUAAUUUAUAGCUGCAUAUUACACUUAUUUUUACACACCAUUUGCAGUUUCCCCUGCUUCUCAUUGGCAAUUAUUCCUCUUGAAAGGAAAAGAUCAAGCAAAUUAGUUGACAGCAUUCACGAUGAAUCCUUCCUCCUUUUCCUUUAGGAUAAUCCUGAAGUGCAAAUGCUGAGAACAUGAAAUGGUUCAAUACAUUUUAAAUAGCUGUGUCAGGGUUAAUUAUAUUCAAUCAGGCAGCCAGAUAUUCCUAGAGAGAAAAUCUUUGAGGUUAUCUCUGCAAAACCUUACUGCUCUGAAGGGCAUGGCCACCUCAGCUCUGCAGGCCAGCAUGGUCUGAGAUGCAUAUCAGAAGUCCUGAGAUGGAUAAAUGAGAAGUCCUGAUCAUUUUGGGACUAAUCCAAAUUCCUGCAACAAAAACCUGUGGAAAUGGGGUUUGGCUACUAUAGUAAUUGCAACAGAGGAGUCAGUUCCAUGUGAGCUGUGCUUUGGAAAACACACAUAUAAUAAGAAAACAAAAUAAAUGACAUCUGGAAAGAAUCACUGAGGUUUUCAGGUUUUAGAAUGCAAAACCUACUUGCUGCUUCAGUUGGAUUCCUGUUUAAGAUGCAGCUGCUGUGAGAGUAUAUGCAGCGUAUUUAAUUUGAAAAUAUUCCCAGAACUUCUUUGCUGCAGACAGGACUUGCUCAAAUGAGUAAAAAACAUACUUAAUUCUUUAAAUCUCAGAGGGUUGUUUUGUUAGCCAAAGAUGUCAGCCACAGCAAACAUUUUUAAUUAAUGGUUCUGUAGCAGUCGUGUUACCUUUCUCAUGCCCGACUUUGAGGGCAGCUAAUUUCUGUGUUUAUCUGUUCUACUUGGCAUGUACAUGAUGUGCUAAUGAAGAGAGAAAGAGAACAAUAAUGAUGCUCAGCACUUAUACAGCAUUUAUUCCAUUUUACUGCAUAAAUAUUAAUUGUGAAUCUUCACAAAAGCCCCAAGGAAUAGAUUAAUACUAUUAUCUUUCUAUUUAGGGAAAUAGAAGCAGAGGUGAAAGACUAUGAAAAGGAAACAGAAGUGCACAGAUGUACUUUGCAAAGCUUUUUAUAGCUUAUGAAACAGGUCUGUAGAUGUUGUUUAUAAAUCUAAUUACAGUUUAUAUUUAGGUGUUAUGGGAGUAGUAAAUCUUGCCUUCCUCCCUCUUUCCUGGGAGGAAAACCUGACAAAUGAGGAGCAGAAACAUCCUUAGAAUUUAACCGAAAGAUGAGGAAAGUUAUACCAUCAGGGAGGACUUUGCUUCCAAAAUCUUUAUUUCAAAAGGCAUUAAAGAUAGUAAAGACUUGGGAACAGAAUGAAUAAAAACCACUUAUCUCAGUUAGGCACUGCUUCCCUGCCAGGCUGCUUUCUCCAGCAGAAAUCACCCUGCUCCUCCGCGGCCUGCCCUGCUGCAGUGCUGCUUGGGCUGCUUUAGUGCCACUGCAGGUCCCCCCACCACAGUCCUUGCACCUGUCUCUUGAACCUAAAAUGGACAAGAAAAAGGACACCUUGUUUUGGACAGAUGAUAAGCACUGGCUGUGCUAUCAUCCAGCUUAUGAAAAACUCUCCAGGACUUCUUUAGCAACAUUGAAUAUAUUUAAUUCCGAAGAGCAGAAAUUAAUCACUUCAGCAAUUAAGGCACUUGAUUCUAUGAUAGCAUUACUAUCCUUGAAGAAACACAAUACUUAAUGGUUUUUAUUGCUUGUAUUCCUUGAAAGGUGCAUUUGCCCUUUCAAAACAGAGACAUUAUGUUCUCAAAAUCCAUUUCCAGUUGAAAAGCCUCCCACUGCCUACAUGCAGGUGUGGAUGUUUUCUGAUUACUCCUAAUCAAAGUUCAGGGUUGCUGCAUUUCCCGUGCAAGGGAGAGCAGGAUAAACACAUGUUAAUGAAAGAGAGGAAGCAGCAUUAGUCCCAGAGAUUAAAACAGAUGGGUUUACUCCGACUUCCAUUGAUUUGCAGAAAGUGACAGAACAUUUCUUUUAGAUAGAACAUUUUCAAUUAGAUACAAUGUUUUUAUGUACAGAGUAAUAAAAAAUGUGUUUAUAUCCUUCAGGAUGACUCCUCUGCAAGUUUAGGUGUGAAUGUCCCCACAUCUCUUCGAUGUGGGCACAAAGAAGUUUGUCUUCUCCUUGUGUCAAGGGCUGCAGCAUUUUGUGGCUUAGCUUGUGAGUAGCACUUGGGGCCAAACCUGCAGCACAGAAUGGCCAGGACGGGAGGCAGGAGAUACUUGGUGAGUCCUGGCUUUGCACAACAAGGCAGCACCCAGCUCACAGCUCUCCAGAUGCUUUGUAAGCCUACCUGUGCAGGGGUGAGUCUGGCACAUUCUGUCAAAGCACAGGCUUAAACAUUUCAGUGGUUUAUCAGAGCCAGAGUUAAAGACACAAAAAAGAAAACAAAGAACAUACUUUUUACUUACUUAUGCCUGGUUUUAACAAGUUUUUCAGGAUUUUCUUCCAAACUACCACAAGCUAUAAGGUAACUUCGAAUUUCCAAAGCUGAAAGUGGUGCUCAGGGCCCUCCCUCUACUUUGAACAUCAAUCUUUGCUUGUACUCCAGGGUCAUUGGAGUAACCUUCUGAGUACAGAAGAUUUUCCUUCCCAGAGUGUUUUCUCUGAGAUACCAGCAAAUGUAAAAGUAGUACUUUGACAUCAUAGUUAGAGAUGACUUCUUCAAACCUUCCUUGUGUUCCUUAGUUAACACAUUUCUACUUUUCUCCUCAGGACUGCCAUAGGUACUUUAUAGACUGUAUAGUGUGAGAAGUAGUGGUUGUGUUGACACCUUUGUAGACCUAUGGCUUCCAGCUCAUUGUGAACUUGGUAGUGAGUCUCUGCUGGUGGUUUUGCUGUAUUAGGUAAUUUUUCUGCCUUUUCUCAGUUCAUGUUCCUCUCUCCACCUACUGUCUGGUACUCCUGCUGCCACAGACAUUUAAUGUGCAUAAUGCAAUCUGUGACCAGAGCCACUUGGAAAGUUCCUUGUUUUCAGUAACAAAAUGUACCAGUGUCUCAUGUAGCUGUUGCAGCAAAUGUUGCAGUUAAUUUCUUUUAGUGGAUUUUGCCACUCUAUGAUGAGCAGCUAUGUGGAGCAGACUGCAGCUGUGCAAAUGGGCACUCACUGGCCUAGUUGAGCCAGGAUAGUGUAUGACUCCUUUGACAGAAUUUUUACUCUGACCAGCUUAAUUCUUUCUACUUUUUGCUUCCUGAAGGAAAGCAGUGAAAUUACUUUAAGUGGCAUCCCAAUAAAUUUUCAUUUCAGUAAUUUAAACCACAAAUGAUUACAAAACAGAGAGGCUGCUAGUGACUAGAGGCUGUUUCUUUUGAUUUAUUUUAAAUUGUUAUUUUAUUUUAACAAAGACACCUGCACAAAGCACUGCAUUUAAAUUUUUUCAUUUGACCCAAACAGCCCCCAUUCAAUCUCUUAGCAAUCAAAGAAACACAAACCCCCUCAAUGCAAUUUUGUUUCCUUAAAUGAGAAAAUGCAAAGUGUACUGUGUCAGUAUGGGCAAAUUGAACCUCACUGCAUCUUCUGGUUACUCUGAACCAUUCACAGGCAAAAACCUUUCUCUUCUUUGCAGGCCUCCACAUACAUUUGGAAAAAGUGCCUUCCCAGCAGGGCCUGGUAAUUGGCUGUAAGUUUCCAUGAGUCAGUAAAAGCAGGUGGAUUGGGCUGAUUUCUUGUAUGAACCCAUCAGUUUUUGACAUAAAUGUUUAAAUGUUAAAAGUCAGUGUGAUCCUAGCAAGUAUGAAGAACAUUGUUGUCUCAUCCCUUUGGUUUUAAUGGAGAUUGUUCCCUCUAAUAUAUAUGAACAUAUUGAUUUCUCUUUUGAGUCAAUGAUAAAUUGUGUUUCUGCAGUUUUGCUUUUCAUUAGGCUGCAUUUGUAACUGGUGGCAAUAAAUCGUGAUCUUGAGC
Taeniopygia guttata (zebra finch) is the source of this 7388-nucleotide non-coding RNA. Lineage: Eukaryota; Metazoa; Chordata; Aves; Passeriformes; Estrildidae. The record is from RefSeq and is a predicted model, not a curated record.